Halanaerobium hydrogeniformans is the source of this 357-nucleotide non-coding RNA. It matches the Rfam family "transfer-messenger RNA". From Rfam's summary of the family: Bacterial tmRNA, also known as 10Sa RNA or SsrA, is named for its dual tRNA and mRNA-like properties. Lineage: Bacteria; Bacillati; Bacillota; Clostridia; Halanaerobiales; Halanaerobiaceae. The record is from Rfam.
GGGGGUGUUCUGGCUUCGCCUGGAUGGUAAAUCCUUUAGAAGCGAGUCGAGGAUUCUCUUUCACUCGAAAAACACUGGGAACUAUAAAAUUAUCCGCAAACGAUAAUAGUUACGCUUUAGCUGCCGCGUAGGCAGUUAACGCCUGGCCGUCUCCUGCCUGUGGAGUCGUCCCAGGUGCCAUAUAAAGCAGGCUAACUUUCUUCUGAUGUCUGUAAGAAGAAAGGACAAUUAACAGACUGGCAGUAAAUGAUCCUGUUCAGUGGAGCAUUUACUGUGAGAUUAAAAACUGAACUACACUCGUAGAAACUACUGGGUGAGUCAUUCAGUACGUGGGUUCGACUCCCACCACCUCCACCA